CCCUUAGACGUUCUGGGCCGCACGCGCGCUACACUGACGAAGGCAACGAGCUUUCCUUUACCGAAAGGUACGGGUAAUCUUUUGAAACUUCGUCGUGCUGGGGAUAGAUCCUUGCAAUUUUUGAUCUUAAACGAGGAAUGCCUAGUAAGCGCAAGUCAUCAACUUGCGUUGAUUACGUCCCUGCCCUUUGUACACACCGCCCGUCGCUACUACCGAUUGAAUGGUUUAGUGAGGCCUUCGGAUCCGCGACUCGUUUUGUGGAGAAGUUGGACAAACUCAGUCAUUUAGAGGAAGUAAAAUUCGUAACA
This 308-nucleotide ribosomal RNA is filed under the name uncultured eukaryote. Its description in RNAcentral is "partial 18S ribosomal RNA". It matches the Rfam family "Eukaryotic small subunit ribosomal RNA", at positions 1470 to 1796 of the family's 1831-position model. The record is from RNAcentral.